This 326-nucleotide ribosomal RNA is filed under the name uncultured eukaryote. RNAcentral's name for it is "partial 18S ribosomal RNA". It matches the Rfam family "Eukaryotic small subunit ribosomal RNA", at positions 1470 to 1796 of the family's 1831-position model. The record is from RNAcentral.
CCCUUAGAUGUUCUGGGCCGCACGCGCGCUACACUGUUUGAUUCAGCGAGUCUUAACCUUGACCGAAAGGUUUGGGUAAUCUUCUAAAGUCAAACGUGAUGGGGAUCGAUCAUUGCAAUUAUUGAUCGUGAACGAGGAAUUCCUAGUAAAUGCAAGUCAUCAGCUUGCGUUGAUUACGUCCCUGCCCUUUGUACACACCGCCCGUCGCUCCUACCGAUUGGGUGUGCUGGUGAAAUGUUCGGAUCGGCCGUUUGUCGCGGUUUCCGCGUCAUGUGGCUGAGAAGUUCAUUAAACCCUCCCACCUAGAGGAAGGAGAAGUCGUAACA